RNAcentral lists this ribosomal RNA (239 nucleotides) under uncultured Methylobacterium sp. RNAcentral describes it as "partial 16S ribosomal RNA". It matches the Rfam family "Bacterial small subunit ribosomal RNA", at positions 83 to 339 of the family's 1533-position model. The record is from RNAcentral. Lineage: Bacteria; Pseudomonadati; Pseudomonadota; Alphaproteobacteria; Hyphomicrobiales; Methylobacteriaceae.
CCUGCGGGGUCAGCGGCGGACGGGUGAGUAACGCGUGGGAACGUGCCUUCUGGUUCGGAAUAACCCUGGGAAACUAGGGCUAAUACCGGAUACGCCCUUUUGGGGAAAGGUUUACUGCCGGAAGAUCGGCCCGCGUCUGAUUAGCUAGUUGGUGGGGUAACGGCCUACCAAGGCGACGAUCAGUAGCUGGUCUGAGAGGAUGAUCAGCCACACUGGGACUGAGACACGGCCCAGACUCC